This 497-nucleotide ribosomal RNA is filed under the name uncultured bacterium. RNAcentral describes it as "partial 16S ribosomal RNA". It matches the Rfam family "Bacterial small subunit ribosomal RNA", at positions 28 to 507 of the family's 1533-position model. The record is from RNAcentral.
GAUGAACGCUGGCGGCGUGCUUAACACAUGCAAGUCGAGCGGAAGGACGCGACGCUUGCUUCUCUCUUGUUUGCGGCGCACGGGUGAGUAACACGUGUAUAACCUACCUAUCUUUCUGGUAUCUCUUCGGGACACCGGCUCUAACACCGUAUAAUCUUCUGCACCGCAUUGUUCAAAAGUAAAAGUCGGCGUUUCUGUCUCUUCUAGCUGCUUCUCGGCUGCAUUGGCUAGUUGUGAAGGUAACGGCUUUUCAAGGCUACUAUGCAUAGGCGAACUGAGGGGGUGGUAGGCCACAUUGGAGCUGGAACAGGGACCAGACUCCUACGGGAGGCAGCAGUAGGGAAUCGUCCGCAAUGGGCGGAAGCCUGACGGAGCAACGCGGCGUGAGUGAUGAAGGUCUUCGGAUCGUGAAGCUCUGUUAUUAGGGAAGAACAGAUGUGUAAGUAACUGUGGAGAUCUUGACGGUACCGAAUCAGAAAGCCACGGCUAACUACGUG